UGGUUAAAAAGAUGAGAAGAAAGGCUUCUCUGUGACAUCACAAGGUAGGUUUAAAGGCUUCUCUGUGACAUCACAGGGUAGGUUUAAAGGCUUCUCUGUGACAUCACAAGGUAGGUUUAAAGGCUUCUCUGUGACAUCACAAGGUAGGUUUAAAGGCUUCUCUGUGACAUCACAAGGUAGGUUUAUUCAUGGUGCUGUAGAUAAUGAGCAUGAGGUUGAAGAGGUUACCUUUGCCACCUGCUGACUAUGGCUGAGGUAGUGAACAGGACGGCACAACCACCAUGGAGACAUACACUGAAGAGAAUUAUAGAGUGAAGAGAAAUAGGUCACAGUCAAAUAUAUUUGUCUCUGUGUUUUAUUGCAAGUGACACUUGGUUCUUCCGGAGAGCUGAGCUGUGCCGUAGAGCUGGAGAAUGCAUCUGAAUAAUCAGGACUCAUUGGAGUGGAAGACUCAGAUGUCGUCCUUGGUUAGAUUCCCAGGGAGCCAGGCAAUGUUACAGAGUGGAAUAGAAUGGGACUGGGGUGCCUGAGGAAAGGGGUGUGUGUGUGUGUGUGUGUGUGUGUGUGUGUGUGUGUGUGUGUGUGUGUGUGUGUGUGUGUGUGUGUGUGUGUGUGUGUGUGUGUGUGUGUGUGUGUGUGUGUUGGUUCUUCUAUAAUUCCUCACAAGGAUAGUAAAACAAGGAAAAUUCUCCCUCGGGGUGAAAUGUCCCACGUCCUCAUGAGGACAAACACUAUUUUAAGCUUAGGAGUUAGGUUUAGAAUUAGGUUUAGGUUUAGAAUUAGGUUUAGGGUUAGAAUUAGGUUUAGGGUUAGAAUUAGGUUUAGGAUUAGAAUUAGGGUUAGGGUUAGAAUUAGGUUUAGGAUUAGAAUUAGGGUUAGGGUUAGAAUUAGGUUUAGGGUUAGAAUUAGGGUUAGGGUUAGAAUUAGGUUCAGGAUUAGAAUUAGGGUUAGGGUUAGAAUUAGGUUUAGGGUUAGAAUUAGGGUUAGGGUUAGAAUUAGGUUUAGGAUUAGAAUUAGGGUUAGGGUUAGAAUUAGGUUUAGGGUUAGAAUUAGGUUUUGGGUUAGAGUUAGAAUUAGGUUUAGGGUUAGAAUUAGGUUAGGUUUAGGGUUAGAAUUAGGGUUAGGGGUUAAGGUUAGGGGUUACGAUUUUGAAUGGCAUCGACAGGCAGUAUGUUGGCCACUGUGAUAACAGUUGACCAGGCAGCGGACAGUAUGUUGUUCACUGUGAUAACAGUUGACCAGGCAGGGGACAGUAUGUUGUUCACUGUGGAUGUCUGUAGUGACGACGGUUGGUUAGCGUUUACCUGACCCUGUGAUCGUUCCUGUUCUGCUCUGAUGAGCUGUCCUCCAAACUGAGGCUCCUCCUCCACUCCACCUUCACCUUGGACUUCUUCUGGUCUGUGGUUCCUCGUCUUCGUUGUCCUGCAGAACAGACUCCACAGAGUCAGAAGAGAGCUGGCUCUGCAGUCCUUUCAGCUAUGGGUCUAACAACCCAGGUGGUGGAGGAGCAGGGUUGGGAAGUAAUUUAUUACAUGUAAUCUGAUUAGAAAAAACGAACUGUAAUCAGUUAUGUUACCAGAUAAAAUAUUGUCAUCAGAUUACAGAGACUUUAGAAAUACUAGAUAAUUACUUACUGAAAUGGUUUUAAAUUCAGAAAGGAUGUUUUCUCAAAUCAGCAUUGACAUUUGGCUCAAGUUUAAGUUUGUUCCACCUGAGCGGGUCAAACCACCAGUCAGAGACCACUAUGAUGAAACCAAAUGAUGACCACCAAUCAGAGACCACCGUGAUGACACACCAAAUGAUGAGCACCAAUCAGAGACACCGUGAUGACACAGAAAAUGAUGACCACCCAUCAGAGACCACCGUGAUGACACACCAAAUGACGACCACCCAUCAGAGACCACCGUGAUGACACACCAAAUGAUGACCACCAAUCAGAGACCAUAACGAUGACACCAAAUGAUGACCACCAAUCAGAGACCACCGUGAUGACACACCAAAUGAUGACCACCAAUCAGAGACCACUGUGAUGACACACCAAAUGAUGACCAUUGCCUUUAAAGUAAUCCAAAUGUAACCGAAAGUAAUCUGAUUACUUAACCAAGUUUGUGUAAUCCAAAAAGUAACUUCUCUGAUUACAAUUUUGGACAUUAUUACAUUUAUAAAGCAACCUACCAAACCAUGUGGAGGAGGGAGGCUCAUCGUGGGCUUUGGAGGACUGGUCUUUCGAGGCAGGUUCCUCGUCUUCGCUGGUCAUGGGCUUUGGAGGACUGGUCUUUCGAGGCAGGUUCCUCGUCUUCGCUGGUCAUGGGCUUUGGAGGACUGGUCUUUCGAGGCAGGUUCCUCGUCUUCGCUGGUCAUGGGCUUUGGAGGACUGGUCUUUGGGGGCAGGUUCCUCGUUUUCGCUGGUCAUGGGCUUUGGAGGACUGGUCUUUGGGGUCAGGUUCCUCGAGUCAGAAGCGAGCUGGACCAGCUCUGGAGUCCUUUCAGCCAUGGGGUUUAACAAAGCACUCCAUGAUGCAAUCCUCGUCCCCUGAGGAGGAAGUGGCACACGUUUUUUUGUGGCUAUACAAAUGAACCCUUUGAUCUCUACAGUACAUUCAUGGGCUUUGGUCCACCACACUCCUUUAAUUGUAACUCUACAAAGUAUGACACAUUCCUUUCAGAUGACUGAAGAACUGCUUGUAGCCUGUUUUCUUUCUGUUGUUGGUGAUUCACAAAUGUGAUUAAAUGACUGAAAUGUAUUUUUUUGCAUCAAUCUAUGAAUCCAUAUGAAUAAUGUAGGCCUAGAUAGUCUGCCUUGGAAUCCACUAUUGAUCUCAUGUCUUAUCCUAUAGAUUUGUCAUAUCUCAUGUUUAAUCCUAUAGAUGUUUUAAAUCUAUCUGGUGGUGUGUAGAUAUUUCACACAUACACUAUGGGACGGUUUCCCAGACACAGAAUAGGCCUGGUUUAGGACUUUAAAAACAUUUUAAUACAGAAUCUCCACUGAGAAUGCUUUUCAGUCUUGGAAAGUGGCCUGAAAUCCAGGAAACUGACCCUCUUUUUUUAAUGAUUGUAUCACAUCAACUACGUUCUGUUCCCUUUGCUCUUCCUUCUCUUGCUGCUAGCUGUGCUCCUCUGUCUGGGUAUCAUAUUACCAGGUUGGGAUAUACUGCCAUCUGCUGUUUGUUUACUGUAAAUACAUUUAUGGAGGAUAUUGUCUCAGUAAAUGCCCCUUAUGGCCACCCUAGUACUAUCCCUAGGGGCACUAAUCCUUCUGGGUUCAAAUGUUUUUAAGUGUCUGGAAUAUUUAACAGCAUCUUGUGCUUCCCAAAUGGCACCCUAUCAUCUAUAUAGUGCACUACUGUUGACCAGGACCUGUAAUGCUUUGGUCAAAAGUAGGGCACAAUGUAGGGAAUAGGGUGCCAUUUAGGACACCUACCUCAGAGACACUCCAAGGAUCUCCUCUGACCACCACCUCCCUCAGAGACACUCCAAGGAUCUGCUCUGACCACCACCUCCCUCAGAGACACUCCAAGGAUCUCCUCUGACCACCACCUCCCUCAGAGACACUCCAAGG
Long non-coding RNA from Oncorhynchus tshawytscha (Chinook salmon), 3559 nucleotides. NCBI's taxonomy places the organism in Eukaryota, Metazoa, Chordata, Actinopteri, Salmoniformes, Salmonidae. The record is from Ensembl.